Egretta garzetta (little egret) is the source of this 7747-nucleotide long non-coding RNA. RefSeq lists it as uncharacterized. The transcript is spliced from 4 exons. NCBI's taxonomy places the organism in Eukaryota, Metazoa, Chordata, Aves, Pelecaniformes, Ardeidae. The record is from RefSeq and is a predicted model, not a curated record.
AAAAAUAAAAAGGAGGAGGGAAAGAAGAAAAAGGGGAAUUUUUGGUGCUACGGGCUGCCCCGGGGUCCCUGAAGUGUCUCCCUGCCAAAGGGGCUGGCUCUCAUAGCAUCUCCCAGAGGGUUUGGUGGUACCCUGGAAGGACUCGCCCAUGGAUUGGCAGCUGCUGUAGCCAUGGUGAUGGAGGGAGAGAGCCGAGACAGCACAGAAAUGUCACCGCCUGGCAGGGAGAUAUUUGGGGCAAAUGUUCGGGCGAUUAGAUCUGUGUCACCGGGUGCUGCCCAGCUCCUCGCGCCGCUUUUUGCUGCUCUUGAAGCCGUUUAGCGGUGACUUGGCUGAGGAGGUUAUCUUGAACACGCUGCUGUCCAGAAACUGCCAGCGUUUGAAGGCGGGGGGGAUGUUUGGGUUGCCCAUUUUGACCUGAUUUCCCAGAGGGGUUUCCCCGGAGAAGGUCUCCGCUGGAAGUGGUUGGGGUUUGGCCAUUUGUAACAGUCAGGAAGAUUCUUGGAAACCAAACAAGCAGCAUCGGUCAUGGCAGUGAAUAGGGUGAUGGCCUCAAAACAUGGGGCUGGGAGGCCAAGCAGGGCACUGAACAGACACAGGGAUGGGCAACAGCUGUGGGUCCUCACCAGAUCAAACUUUUCCUGCUCUGGCCUUAUUACCCCAUGCCCAAACCAGAAGAUGCUGUAGGGACAUCUGCAGGUGCCACCUGGUUUCCUUUACAACCCACCACCAAGGAGACUGGGCAGGUCUUUGUGUCCAAGCGCUCCCCAAAUCUCGUUGCUUGGACCACAAGCUGGAGAGUGGAUGAGCAGAGCUGCAAGGUGGCUUGCUUCUUCCCAGCUGAAAUAUCUGACAAAUAGGGCCAGUAAUGAAAAGCUGCAACAAACUGCUGCCCUCCAAUGGCCUUGCUGUGCUGGAGCUGAGGAGGAGAAGAGCUGGAGUCUGACCUUUGAGAUGAGCCUGAGUCCACUGGUGGUACAAGGGUGGUGGCACCAGCACCUACACAACCGGCGCCCAGUCUCUUCCUGGGGUGAGAAGGGAAGGGAGUGGGGAGAAGAGGAACUCAGUCUCCAGCAGCCUCGCAAAAUAAAUACAAGCUGCACCUUGCUGGUUAUUCACAGCAUCCCUGUCCCAUUAGGUACCCAGACAGCCAAAAUGAAGGUCCGGAUCCCGCCCUGGAGGAGUUUUGUUUCUCAAACUGAAGAUGCAGCAGGCUGCAGAGGCGGGGAACAGGGGGCUGUGGGGUUUAUUCAGAUGUGGAGGUGCUCAAAUUUGGCUGGCCUGGCCUGGCCAUCAGCAGAGAACUGGGCCACCUUCAGCAGCACAAGGAUGACACCAAGCACCACAGACAGCUGCAGAACGACAGCAGAAGGUCUGGCUAUGUUGUCCAGCAGAGACACCAUGCUGGCCCUGCAUCCGGGAUGCCUGACACUGCCUUCUCCUGGCUGCUGCUCUUCAGCUCCUCCUGUGCCUGAUGGGGAGCUGGGUGCAGGUAAAAAUCCUCUCCCUCCUGCUCUGCUGGAGCUGAGCCUGGUGAAGCACUGCUGGCAGCAAUUUAUAGCAGCAGGAACAUCACGGUAAGCCAUGCAUCGGUUUGGCCGGCAGCCCAAUUGCCUGCUGCUCCCCCCCACCCUUUGCCCUGCUCCCAGCAGCCUGUGGAUGCAGGCAGCUUGUUAACAAACAACCUGUACGCGUUUGCCACUUUCUCUGAAGCCCCACACAGCCCAGCAGUGAGGGAAAGCACUUGCAGUCGUCCAUUCCCGGGUAGAUGAAGCCAUAGGAGGUAAGAAGAGCCAGGCUGAGCUCUAGCUAAGCUCCGUGCUGUCCUCAGACAAAUUCAGGUCUGGCAGCCAUUCAUCAGCCUGCAUGAAGUGAGGAACAAAUGGGCCACCUUUGCCAAACACACAGGCUGGAUGGAUCCGGCUGCCUCCAGCUGUAAAAACAGUGAUCUGAGUGACUGCAACAUCACUUGGACUAUGGCUGGACUACAAUCCAGAGAACGGACAUAACCCAAUCAGCACACAAGGGACUGUGGCCCUGCUCUCCAAGAGGUCCUACCGUAGACAAGCCAGGAGACAAAACUGUUGCCCAGAAGAAUUAUCAUGGUCAAUAGAUAAGACAGGGAGAGGGAGAGGAGCAGAGCAGUAAAAGGAGCUGCAGCAAGACUGAGGGCAUGUCUAACCUGAUAGAGAGAUGUGAUGGUAAGGCCAUGUUCCCUCCACAGUCCUGGUGCGUCCUCCUUCCCCUGUCUACACAGCAUCUCACCAUCCUCCAAAAAAGGCUCCACAUCACCACAUUUACCUCUCCAAUGCAGUGCUUGGUUGGGCCCCAGGUAGAACCCCUUCUAGCAAUCCCUGCACAGAUCCUGCUGGUUACCUGGCACAGAAGCCUGGAAUGGCUUGGAAUUGCAGGGUUAGUAAGCCUGCUGCGUGUGGGUGACUUCCAGGCAUACUGCAAAGAGUAGGAUCCCCAGAUGAGCUGAAAUAAUAUCCCAUUUGGGUGUUGGGAUAUUACGAAGACCAAAUGAGUUACCAGCUGCUGACGCUGGUAGAAAAAGUCUGAUGUGCUACUACAUAGGAAUUGCUGAAUUUUGUGGUGUUUCUCUUCAACUUGACAUGUCUCUGAGACAAGGGUCUUCUGAUGUUUAGGCACUUCCCUUUAGUUUUUAGUCUAAAUUAUGCCAUGGCCAACUGAAACCCAUGUUCUCUGCUAGUGGAGUCAUUUUACUGAAAAAAAUACUGUUUAUUUGGCAUUCAUUGUCCAGAUGUAUCCUUUUUAUAAUGAAAGAGACACUAAGAUUGCUGGCUGAAGUGAACGCAACCCCAGUGAAAAUAUUUAAACUUUUUAGACAGAAAGGAUACAUGAAAAAAUCUUACAAGAUCCAUUGUUUGGGAAUUACCUGACUCCACAAAAACGUCUGAAUGUUAAUGAAGUAACUUUUCCCUCAGCUGGCUUGUGGCCUAUUCGUUAAUUAAUGAUGGCAAAGACACAAGCCCUGGGUACACACAGUACCAUUUGUAUUUCAGUCUCAGGGACACUUAAAGCGUCUGGCUGCUACAACCCUUGCGAGAGGCUGUAGAUACAUUGCUCAUCCACUGUGGUAUGUUGGUCAUUGCAAACAGACUGAAGGUCGUGGUGUUUGCCAGUUUGAGUGUAGCAUGGGAAGGUGCCCAGCUGCGAAAGCUGGACUCAUCCUGCGCUCCUUGAGAGAAAAUUCAACAAACUACAGAAUUGCUUAGGUGUGGUGCAUGGCACUCCUCAAGAAGUGUUGCUAAAGCAACCCCCUUUUUGCUUGAAAUCUUUGCAUGCAACUUCUCUGAGCUCUCAACCCUUCUUGGGAGCUCACAGUGUAAAGCCCCAUAUCUCAGGGCAUUUGGGACAGUUUUACUCUGGAUCCGUGUGGAUUCCCUUGCUGAAAUGCAACAAUCUAAUUCAGCAUGGCUUUUUUUUCUCUUUAUGGGUGGGUACACUAGUGCAGAGAGCAGGAAGACUCUCUUGACCCUCUUUUCCAACACAGGCACCGCAAUGUUACCUGUGGGUCUUUGUAAGGGAGAGGACUUGUCCUCCCUGCCACACAGCUGGAGGAUAUUGAGUGCUGUUCAAAGACUCAGCCUCAUAGCUGAAUGGUUCAUAGAGGGACUUGGCAGGUUCAUGUGGCUCCACCUUCACGUCCCUUGGCGGGGUGUUUGACUGUGCAUCCCACUGCUGCUGACUCCUACUGGAAGUUCAGCUGUGGAUUUUCUGGGUAAACAUCGAUCCCUCUGCUGACAUUAGCUAGUGUGGUGGUAUGUGGUCUCUGUCAUGUGCAUCAUCACCUUGUUCUCAGGUUGUGAUAAGAUAUUUUGUAAAUGCUCAGGCAUGAUGUGUUGGAAGGGGCCGUUUCUAACAGUGGCCUCCAGCUCCAGCAGUGAUGAUAUUUCAGGAGCUUCUCACAUGCUUAUCCUGAGGUUGGCAGCCUGGACAUUUCCACAUAAGAUGGGACGAGAAUGCUGACAUUGAGACCCCUGCCCAUUGUGGGUACCCAGGGCACAAAAGGCACUGGGCAUGUCAGCUGGCCAACAGCCAGCUCCUACUGUGUUGAAGUUUGGGCUGAGGAGGGGGGUCUGUUCAUUACUUCUUCAAGCUGGUAGUAGAAGCCUGCUCUAGAAACACACUUUGCUCUUGAAAGACAUCAGCUCUAUGAUCUACUCUUAAUCUGUUCCUGGGCUGCAAAUACCCUUUUGCUAGUCUGCCAACAUUGUCUAUAGCGCUAAGUUUCUUCGGCACUUCCCUAGAAAUAAUGAUUGCAUAAGUUCCUUAGCUGGAUAAGGGGACCCGGUCAGCACUAUAGCUGUCCAUGUGGCACUGGUCUUUUGUUAACAUGGCAGGAAGAUGUGCUGCGAAGAGCCAGUGACCACAGCUGAAAAUCUCCUCUAUCUCCUCACUCAGGUGCUUUGGCUGGAAAAGCCUGGUCCUAGCACAUUUCUUGAGCUCCCCAGUGAGCACAUUUCUUGAGCUCCCCUCAAGUGGACCCCUGUAACCUACUUUAAGAUGGUGCUUUUGGUUCUUCAGACUGGGAAGAAGAGGAAGGAGGAGUUAUAACCUCUGGCUGGCAUUUGUCAUCUUGUUUUCUCCCCAUCACCACUGCUGACAUGCUGCAUCCUUUGGGCCACAGCCUGCUAAGUCAUUAGAACCACAUCAGUCAACAAUUUUAAAAUGUAAGGAACACGCUGACUCUCCAUGUGUUGCCUUGGAGAACAUCCCUGGCAGGCACUGCACUGCAUUAACUUUUCACACACUUGGCCAUCUUCAUGAGGCUAAGCGCACCUCGCUACGCCAAGCCAGCUGGAUCUGUGCGAAAGUUCAGGGCAGAGUUAAAGGUAGUUCUUUAGGGGGCAGAAGGCUGCAGUCUGUCAGGUUAGGCAUUUCUUAGGGAAGGCUUUGACUGUGGCCAGAGCAAGAUGUCUCACAGAUCUCACAGAUCUGCUGUGAGAACUUCACACUCCUGAGCAGGAGCACUGGACUCCAGGGACCUCACAGCCAUGGAAAGUGUAGGAGACACAUCUUGUUCCUCUAGCUUUUCCUGUGAUCCUCCACCUGUCCUGCAGCACCACGAUUAAUAGGCUUCCCAUCUGGAGAGGAGGCAGUGGAGUCUGGCUGGCUGGUUUGUUGGCCAGGUGGCUGGGAAGCAUGUGGGUUGCAGUUGUUCGGGAGGCUACUGCUGAGGUUUCUUGGCUACCUGAGGACCUGGAGAAGGAUGAACAUGCAGCACAAGGAGCCACUUUUGGCCUGAGCCAGAUCUGUGGUUUUGCAGGCUGCCUUGAAAAUGUGGGUCUGGCUUAAAUAGACUGGGCAGACAAAGGGUGUGGGGACAGUGAUAUUACCGUGUGCCUUCUCUUGUUACCAGAUGAGGUCACAGAGAGGAUUUGGACAGGUCUGCCAUGAUGCUUGGGAUUAAACUUGAAGCUAGGUUCAGUGAUGUAAGCUACAAGAGACCCCAUGCCCCAUCUGCAAGGCAUUAUGGGCUCUGCCCCAAAGCUGUCCAUCUUCCACAUUUUUUUUCCUCUCAGCCAGCUCUAAAAUGGCCUUUAGGCUCUUUCAGAGACCGCCCUCUAGGAAACAGCGCAUGGACACCUAACCUCUUGUCUGGUCUUGCCCGUGACUAUGGAUGGGAGAGAAGAGAAGAGGAUCUCCAUGGAGCUGAGGACAUUGGAAGGAGGGAUUGCUGCUGUGGGUCCCUCGUGUGAUGACCUGCAGCACACUCAUAAAUCCAGCAGUGUCAUAUGGUUGGGUGCCUUACAAGGGCCACGUAAGAAACACAAGGAAGAGCUGGGGGUUAAGCUGUUGGUUAGCACCAAUGGAGCUUUGGGGUGUCCUGUGGCACCUACCUAGUUACCAGACCGCCUGAUCUGGAUCUGGCAGGUAUCUUUCAGCAGUCACCUACAAAACAAUUCAGAAAUCCCCCAAGACCCAAAAGCAGAGGGGUCAAGCUGGUGAAAUUGUUGGCACAGCAUCACAUGAAACUUUUAUAAAAACACAGAAAUUCUCACUGGUGACAAAGUCCCUGGAUGAUGUGUCUGACCAUGGGUUACUGAGCAGGGUGGAUUUUUACCCAUCUGGCUCCCUGAUAGUUAUUUAAUAACCAGUAACCACUGUUGAGCAUGAAGCCAAGGGGAUAUGGGUUAUUUUGAAGGUCAAGUGAGAUGUCAAGCCUCUCAUUUGAGAUAGGGGAGACAUAGGGGACGGCAUGGCUAAACCCACAUUUGUAGGGAUUUGGAACAAGAAUCUGAGCUUGGGUGAUAGCAAAACUGGGUGCCUAAUCCAGUCUCUGCAUUUUCUGUUUCGCUGGUGGAGGGGAGAUAAACAUCUUUCUCGCCUAUUUCAGACAUUUCAUGGCAUGCACAUUUAGUCUGACACUCUUUAGGACAGCUUGGGUAUGGCAACUCAGGGUUUUUUUCAGGGGAAGAAAUGGUGAAAGUUCAAAAGAGAAAGUGAAGUGACCACAGAACCGAAAGUGGAGAAAAAUGAAAGGGGAUGGCACUGGUCUGGUCAUCAUAAGGGACUAGGACAAAGACAGAAGCAGUCUGCUUAGCACCAGGAGAACCUACAGCCCUGUUGCUCUCAGGCAUCCCAGCCGAAGUCAGGAGCCUCCAAAAGAUCUCAGCAUGAAGAAGCAUCUACAAGAGUCUCGUGAUAGCCAGAGUCAUCCGGGGAGUUUGGCAAGGUGAACAGAGUCUUGGCUUGACCCUCUGGACAUCUAAGGCUGGCAAAACUACAGCUGGGUGUUAAAGGACACUUGGAAGGUCAUCAAAUAUUUGCAGAGAGCCUCUGCAGGGUUGGCUCGAUGCUGUGGAUGUCCACAUGAUGGCAGUGUAUGCCAUGACAGGUCAUGUCAUAAACGUAAAAAUCCCCAAAUGUUACACUGAAAAAUUCCCAUCCUGUACCACAACCAUGGACACGUUAGGCUGUGGAAGUUGCUUUCAGGGUCUUGGGAGUUUCUCCACUUAAUUUAGUUACUUAAACAGAAGAAGGAAAGGAUCUUCCUCACUGAUUUAAUUCAUACUCUUGGCAUUCAUUGCAGAACUGGUUUACUGAGCAGGUGAAAUUUAGGUGGCAAUGCUUUGCCCCAGAGCGUGACCUUGCAGCAGCUGCUUUCCCGGGUGUGCCUGUGUUUAUUCGAAUAGGAAGAAGAGUCCAGGACCAUCUGUCCCUGUGUGUUCCUGCAGUGCUUAGUGCUGACAGAUGAAAUGUAUCUGUAAUGCCAAAAAAAAAAAUAAUAACGUUUCAGGCUUCCAAACACAUGAUAUAUGAGGAAAACAUGGCAAGAGCCCAGCAAGUGUUGCAGAGUAAUGUGAGCUGCCUGGAUCCCAUCUGACCACACAUGUCUCGAGGAUGAAUUUAUAUCUGGAAGCAUUUAAUACAGCUGUCUUACGAAUACUUUGCAAUACUUAUUUAAUUUACAGGCUGCUUCCUGUGUAAAAUCCCAGUGGGGUUCAGAUGGAAAUUGCCGGUACCAUCUGAUAAUGUGUUUGCCUGGCGAGCAGUGUGGGUCCUGUGCAGGGACCGCAUCCCCUGGUGGUGUGAGCAAGCUGCUCUCACCCCUGGUUCUGCUGCUCCCGUCGUGCUUGGCAGCAUGUGAGACAGUACCACCACCAGACUGCGAUGGACAGAGAUAUUUCUGAUUUCAACUCAAGAGCUGCAUCUCGCAUCUGAAGAGGGGACAGGCAGCUGGAGCUUGCAGGCGUUUGCCCGGGCUGCCCCGGCGCAG